Molecule: small nuclear RNA, 316 nt
Filed under: Microcebus murinus (gray mouse lemur)
Lineage: Eukaryota; Metazoa; Chordata; Mammalia; Primates; Cheirogaleidae
Description: 7SK RNA (ENSMICG00000035264.2)
Rfam family: 7SK RNA
About the family: 7SK was discovered as an abundant small nuclear RNA in the mid-70s but a possible function has only recently been suggested. Two independent studies have found that 7SK RNA binds the CDK9/cyclin T complex (known as elongation factor P-TEFb).
Source: RNAcentral
GGAUCUGAGGGCGAUCUGGCUGCGACAUCUGUCACCCCACUGAUCGCCAGGGUUGAUUCGGCUGAUCUGGCUGGUGAGGCCGGCGUCCCCUUCCUCCCUCACCGCUCCAUGUGCGUCCCUCCCGAAGGUGCGCGCUAGGUCCAGGAGGACGACCUUCCCCGCCAAAGGAGGACCAUCUUCCGUCGAGGGUAUACGAGUAGCUGUGCUCCCCUGCUAGAACCUCCAAACAAGCUCUCAGCUUGCCUGGUAUUUGUUUUUUGGUUUUUUUUUUCUAUUUCAUGAUACUAGUAACAUAGUUGAUUUUUUAUUUAAUUUU